This is a long non-coding RNA of Monodelphis domestica (gray short-tailed opossum), 1415 nucleotides long. The record is from Ensembl. NCBI's taxonomy places the organism in Eukaryota, Metazoa, Chordata, Mammalia, Didelphimorphia, Didelphidae.
GCCCUUUAUCAGGUAUGGGGUCUAUGGGAAAAACUUGAAGUGUACCAUACCUGGCUUCGUCAGCAACCAGGUGGACACGGAUAUGAGACAACUUCUCUUAUCCCUAGAUCAUUUCUGGCACCUUUCUUGCACUUGUCUCCAUUCCUAUCCCGUUUCUUCUUCUCUAUGCCCCCUAGAACUCCGUGAGUCAGCCCAGAGGCUGAGCCAGGGAGAGAGAAAGGAGACCCUUUUUCAGUGAGCCUUCGGAAGUAUUUGGGAAAUAACACCCUCCCAGCCCCCGUACCCUGAGGUUCAGAAGAGAAAUCCUUCUGCUUCUCUCCCUCCUAAGGAACUUGGGCGAGAGAAAUCACUCAUCAAAACACGUGGACCAGAGGUACUUAACCUAUUCUGUAGAACUUGACAACCAGGUGGAGGAUUUUUUUUUUUUUUAACACUAAGCAAUCUCCCUGGACCUCCUCGGGUCCAAACGCAGGGAAGAAAGCAAAGGGGACUCAUAGAACUGUAGAGCAAGAAAGGCUCACCUCGUUUUACAGAGGAACAAUCAUAUUCCCCAAGACGGGGAUUCAAACCCAGACCCUGUCUCUAAAACCAGGGUUCAUUCUACUACCUCCCAAAUGCCCUCAGCCACUUGUAACUCCUGCACCACGUCUCGCGUUGGCAGGCGAGGUGAGAGGGGUGUCUGUGGGGCUUCUGGCGUUAUUUUUUUCCUUCCCAGGAGGUCCCCCCCCACCCCUUUGAAGCUCCGCAUUGCUGCGGCCAUCUAUCCACCUGUUGGGGUUUGGCCGGAGCUGCAGAGCCAAGAGCAAGCGGAGCCCCGGAGACCCCAGGAAGGCGCCCAGACUCCCUCCCCGCCUUCCGGGCGGAGCUCGAGCUGGAGUGUAGCCGCCUUCCCUGCCUCCAGCCUUCCCCGCCCUCCUCCGCUUCCUCCCCCGGGCAGCUGCUUAGGUCUGCGCUGCCCGCCUGUACCACCCAGCUCUGCCGGGAGGAGAGGAGGGAGGAGGACGCGGAGGAGAGCGGGAGAGCUAGGAGGAGGAAGGAGAGGGCCAAAGCCGGGAGGUGGUGGUGGUGGAGGAGGAGGGGAAGGGCUGGCAGCAGGAGGGGGUGCAAGGGCAGCGCCUGGCGCUCUGCGCGCCCACCCCGGGGGAGCCCUUGGCUCUGACACCGAAACAACCUCGGAGCUCACUCCUUCUUUACCACCCUUGCUGCCUGGAGUCUCCGUCAGACUCAUGUCACACAAGCCGGUUGGCGGCCCCCCAGGCGAGGAGGAAGUUGACUGGUGCUUGUAUCAGCUCAAUGGGACAGCGGAGUUUGAAGUCUCCGAAGAUUCUUGUCUAACCAUACAUCACCUCCUCUCUUAUAUUCUGGCAGUGGAAAGUCUGAAGUCAAAUGUAGGUCUUUAUUUUUAUUCCUAUUAA